UCUGCAACUCGACUACAUGAAGCUGGAAUCGCUAGUAAUCGCGGAUCAGAAUGCCGCGGUGAAUACGUUCCCGGGUCUUGUACACACCGCCCGUCACACCAUGGGAGUCAGUAACGCCCGAAGCCGGUGACCCAACCUAAACAGGAGGGAGCCGUCGAAGGCGGGACGGAUGACUGGGGUGAAGUCGUAACAAGGUAAC
Molecule: ribosomal RNA, 199 nt
Filed under: uncultured bacterium
Lineage: Bacteria
Description: partial 16S ribosomal RNA
Rfam family: Bacterial small subunit ribosomal RNA
Source: RNAcentral